GUAGGGAAUAUUGCACAAUGGAGGAAACUCUGAUGCAGCGACGCCGCGUGAGUGAUGAAGGCCUUCGGGUCGUAAAGCUCUGUCGCAGGGGAAUAACACAAUGAAGGUACCCUGUAAGAAAGGAUCGGCUAACUUCGUGCCAGCAGCCGCGGUAAGACGAGGGAUCCUAGCGUUGUUCGGAAUCAUUGGGCGUAAAGUGGAUGUAGGUGGCUAUGUAAGUCAGAUGUGAAAGCCUGGGGCUCAACCCCAGAAGUGCAUUUGAUACUGCGUAGAGUGAGUGUCGGAGAGGUUACUAGAAUUGUUGGUGUAGUGGUGAAAUACGGAGAUAUCAACAGGAAUACCGGAGGCGAAGGCGGGUAACUUGCCGAACACUGACACUGAGAUCCGAAAGCGUGGGGAUCAAACAGGAUUAGAUACCCGAGUAGUCC
This 428-nucleotide ribosomal RNA is filed under the name uncultured bacterium. RNAcentral describes it as "bacterial SSU rRNA". It matches the Rfam family "Bacterial small subunit ribosomal RNA", at positions 354 to 796 of the family's 1533-position model. The record is from RNAcentral.